CACUGCCGAGAAAAGCCUCUAGAUAGAAAAUAGGUGCCCGUACCGCAAACCGACACAGGUAGUCAAGAUGAGAAUUCUAAGGUGAGCGAGCGAACUCUCGUUAAGGAACUCGGCAAAAUGACCCCGUAACUUCGGGAGAAGGGGUGCUCUUUAGGGUUAACGCCCAGAAGAGCCGCAGUGAAUAGGCCCAAGCGACUGUUUAUCAAAAACACAGGUCUCUGCUAAACCGUAAGGUGAUGUAUAGGGGCUGACGCCUGCCCGGUGCUGGAAGGUUAAGAGGAGUGGUUAGCUUCUGCGAAGCUACGAAUCGAAGCCCCAGUAAACGGCGGCCGUAACUAUAACGGUCCUAAGGUAGCGAAAUUCCUUGUCGGGUAAGUUCCGACCCGCACGAAAGGCGUAACGAUUUGGGCACUGUCUCAACGAGAGACUCGGUGAAAUCAUAGUACCUGUGAAGAUGCAGGUUACCCGCGACAGGACGGAAAGACCCCGUGGAGCUUUACUGUAGCCUGAUAUUGAAAUUCGGCACAGCUUGUACAGGAUAGGUAGGAGCCUUUGAAACGUGAGCGCUAGCUUACGUGGAGGCGCUGGUGGGAUACUACCCUAGCUGUGUUGGCUUUCUAACCCGCACCACUUAUCGUGGUGGGAGACAGUGUCAGGCGGGCAGUUUGACUGGGGCGGUCGCCUCCUAAAAGGUAACGGAGGCGCUCAAAGGUUCCCUCAGAAUGGUUGGAAAUCAUUCAUAGAGUGUAAAGGCAUAAGGGAGCUUGACUGCGAGACCUACAAGUCGAGCAGGGUCGAAAGACGGACUUAGUGAUCCGGUGGUUCCGCAUGGAAGGGCCAUCGCUCAACGGAUAAAAGCUACCCCGGGGAUAACAGGCUUAUCUCCCCCAAGAGUUCACAUCGACGGGGAGGUUUGGCACCUCGAUGUCGG
RNAcentral lists this ribosomal RNA (931 nucleotides) under Staphylococcus aureus. RNAcentral describes it as "partial 23S ribosomal RNA". It matches the Rfam family "Bacterial large subunit ribosomal RNA", at positions 1603 to 2535 of the family's 2925-position model. The record is from RNAcentral. Lineage: Bacteria; Bacillati; Bacillota; Bacilli; Caryophanales; Staphylococcaceae.